GGGUUGUGAGGUUAAGCGACUAAGCGUACACGGUGGAUGCCCUGGCAGUCAGAGGCGAUGAAGGGCGUGCUAAUCUGCGAUAAGCGCCGGUAAGGUGAUAUGAACCGUUAUAACCGGCGAUACCCGAAUGGGGAAACCCAGUGUGAUUCGUCACACUAUCAUUAACUGAAUCCAUAGGUUAAUGAGGCGAACCGGGGGAACUGAAACAUCUAAGUACCCCGAGGAAAAGAAAUCAACCGAGAUUCCCCCAGUAGCGGCGAGCGAACGGGGAGGAGCCCAGAGCCUGAAUCAGCAUGUGUGUUAGUGGAAGCGUCUGGAAAGGCGCGCGAUACAGGGUGACAGCCCCGUACACAAAAGCGCAUGUGCUGUGAGCUCGAUGAGUAGGGCGGGACACGUGGUAUCCUGUCUGAAUAUGGGGGGACCAUCCUCCAAGGCUAAAUACUCCUGACUGACCGAUAGUGAACCAGUACCGUGAGGGAAAGGCGAAAAGAACCCCGGCGAGGGGAGUGAAAAAGAACCUGAAACCGUGUACGUACAAGCAGUGGGAGCNNNNNNNNNNNNNNNNNNNNNNNNNNNNNNNNNNNNNNNNNNNNNNNNNGGGCGUUAAGUUGCAGGGUAUAGACCCGAAACCCGGUGAUCUAGCCAUGGGCAGGUUGAAGGUUGGGUAACACUAACUGGAGGACCGAACCGACUAAUGUUGAAAAAUUAGCGGAUGACCUGUGGCUGGGGGUGAAAGGCCAAUCAAACCGGGAGAUAGCUGGUUCUCCCCGAAAGCUAUUUAGGUAGCGCCUCGUGAAUUCAUCUCCGGGGGUAGAGCACUGUUUCGGCUAGGGGGCCAUCCCGGCUUACCAACCCGAUGCAAACUGCGAAUACCGGAGAAUGUUAUCACGGGAGACACACGGCGGGUGCUAACGUCCGUCGUGAAGAGGGAAACAACCCAGACCGCCAGCUAAGGUCCCAAAGUCAUGGUUAAGUGGGAAACGAUGUGGGAAGGCCCAGACAGCCAGGAUGUUGGCUUAGAAGCAGCCAUCAUUUAAAGAAAGCGUAAUAGCUCACUGGUCGAGUCGGCCUGCGCGGAAGAUGUAACGGGGCUAAACCAUGCACCGAAGCUGCGGCAGCGACACUGUGUGUUGUUGGGUAGGGGAGCGUUCUGUAAGCCUGCGAAGGUGGCCUGUGAGGGUUGCUGGAGGUAUCAGAAGUGCGAAUGCUGACAUAAGUAACGAUAAAGCGGGUGAAAAGCCCGCUCGCCGGAAGACCAAGGGUUCCUGUCCAACGUUAAUCGGGGCAGGGUGAGUCGACCCCUAAGGCGAGGCCGAAAGGCGUAGUCGAUGGGAAACGGGUUAAUAUUCCCGUACUUGGUGUUACUGCGAAGGGGGGACGGAGAAGGCUAUGUUGGCCGGGCGACGGUUGUCCCGGUUUAAGCGUGUAGGUGUGUGUUCCAGGUAAAUCCGGUUCACUUUAACACUGAGGCGUGACGACGAGGCACUACGGUGCUGAAGCAACAAAUGCCCUGCUUCCAGGAAAAGCCUCUAAGCAUCAGGUAACAUCAAAUCGUACCCCAAACCGACACAGGUGGUCAGGUAGAGAAUACCAAGGCGCUUGAGAGAACUCGGGUGAAGGAACUAGGCAAAAUGGUGCCGUAACUUCGGGAGAAGGCACGCUGACACGUAGGUGAAGUGAUUUACUCAUGGAGCUGAAGUCAGUCGAAGAUACCAGCUGGCUGCAACUGUUUAUUAAAAACACAGCACUGUGCAAACACGAAAGUGGACGUAUACGGUGUGACGCCUGCCCGGUGCCGGAAGGUUAAUUGAUGGGGUCAGCGCAAGCGAAGCUCCUGAUCGAAGCCCCGGUAAACGGCGGCCGUAACUAUAACGGUCCUAAGGUAGCGAAAUUCCUUGUCGGGUAAGUUCCGACCUGCACGAAUGGCGUAAUGAUGGCCAGGCUGUCUCCACCCGAGACUCAGUGAAAUUGAACUCGCUGUGAAGAUGCAGUGUACCCGCGGCAAGACGGAAAGACCCCGUGAACCUUUACUAUAGCUUGACACUGAACAUUGAGCCUUGAUGUGUAGGAUAGGUGGGAGGCUUUGAAGUGUGGACGCCAGUCUGCAUGGAGCCGACCUUGAAAUACCACCCUUUAAUGUUUGAUGUUCUAACGUGGACCCGUUACCCGGGUUGCGGACAGUGUCUGGUGGGUAGUUUGACUGGGGCGGUCUCCUCCUAAAGAGUAACGGAGGAGCACGAAGGUUGGCUAAUCCUGGUCGGACAUCAGGAGGUUAGUGCAAUGGCAUAAGCCAGCUUGACUGCGAGCGUGACGGCGCGAGCAGGUGCGAAAGCAGGUCAUAGUGAUCCGGUGGUUCUGAAUGGAAGGGCCAUCGCUCAACGGAUAAAAGGUACUCCGGGGAUAACAGGCUGAUACCGCCCAAGAGUUCAUAUCGACGGCGGUGUUUGGCACCUCGAUGUCGGCUCAUCACAUCCUGGGGCUGAAGUAGGUCCCAAGGGUAUGGCUGUUCGCCAUUUAAAGUGGUACGCGAGCUGGGUUUAGAACGUCGUGAGACAGUUCGGUCCCUAUCUGCCGUGGGCGCUGGAGAACUGAGGGGGGCUGCUCCUAGUACGAGAGGACCGGAGUGGACGCAUCACUGGUGUUCGGGUUGUCAUGCCAAUGGCACUGCCCGGUAGCUAAAUGCGGAAGAGAUAAGUGCUGAAAGCAUCUAAGCACGAAACUUGCCCCGAGAUGAGUUCUCCCUGAGACUUAGAGUCUCCUGAAGGAACGUUGAAGACGACGACGUUGAUAGGCCGGGUGUGUAAGCGCAGCGAUGCGUUGAGCUAACCGGUACUAAUGAACCGUGAGGCUUAACCUUACAACGCCGAAG
Molecule: ribosomal RNA, 2869 nt
Filed under: Salmonella enterica subsp. enterica serovar Enteritidis
Lineage: Bacteria; Pseudomonadati; Pseudomonadota; Gammaproteobacteria; Enterobacterales; Enterobacteriaceae
Description: bacterial LSU rRNA
Rfam family: Bacterial large subunit ribosomal RNA
Source: RNAcentral